RNAcentral lists this ribosomal RNA (491 nucleotides) under uncultured bacterium. RNAcentral describes it as "partial 16S ribosomal RNA". It matches the Rfam family "Bacterial small subunit ribosomal RNA", at positions 28 to 507 of the family's 1533-position model. The record is from RNAcentral.
GAUGAACGCUGUCUACAGGCUUAACACAUGCAAGUCGAGGGGAAACGACGGGGAAGCUUGCUUCCCCGGGCGUCGACCGGCGCACGGGUGAGUAACGCGUAUCCAACCUGCCUCUGACUGAGGGAUAACCCGUCGAAAGUCGGCCUAAUACCUCAUGGCAUCGUCUGCGGGCAUCCAACGACGAUUAAAGAUUUCAUCGGUCAGGGAUGGGGAUGCGUCUGAUUAGCUUGUUGGCGGGGUAACGGCCCACCAAGGCUACGAUCAGUAGGGGUUCUGAGAGGAAGGUCCCCCACAUUGCAACUGAGACACGGUCCAAACUCCUACGGGAGGCAGCAGUGAGGAAUAUUGGUCAAUGGGCGGGAGCCUGAACCAGCCAAGUAGCGUGCAGGAUGACGGCCCUAUGGGUUGUAAACUGCUUUUAUGCGGGGAUAAAGUGAGGGACGUGUCCUUCAUUGCAGGUACCGCAUGAAUAAGGACCGGCUAAUUCCGUG